UCCAAUCAGCCACCCGGCUACCAUGGCAACUGCUAAUUUAUGACAGUUUUUUUGUAUGAGAGAGUGUAGCCUUUUUUUCCUGCCUUCCUGCGACUCGCAACAUCUCGCCUUUACGAGAAAUAACGGAAGCCGCGGCCGUUUCUGAGCCUUAGGGUCAUUGUUGAAACAAAACUUGACAAUUCUACAUACAUUUAAACUCCACCAACCAAGAGGUUUCGCGUGAUCUUGUUUCGACUUGGGGUUUCCAAUAGCUGGAUUGUCGGAACAAACGGGAAGUUGGCUUACCAAAUGAUUCAAGGAUGAGGUUGGGAGGAAACAGAGAGACUGGAGCUGCUCGUUGAAAAUCCAUGUUGCUGAAAUAAUCAUGCUGCUUGACAGAAUCCCACAAGCCAAUCUCUGAAUAAGGAGCUUGGGGAGAAGGAAACACUAUAAACAAUGAACGAAAUCAGUCAGCUUGAAAGUAACUGCUUUAUCACAGAGUGCCAGACCAGCCUAUUAAGUGAACCAGAUGAUUAAACAAGGCUUCUGGAUUAAUAAGGUUGGGUAAUGGGGGAAUAUCACCCCUCAGAUCAUCCAGUCAUAGAGCAACAUGGUCAGAGACACGAAUGGACUCCCACCCAUGAGGAGACUCAAGGAAAAGGAUAGAGACAAGAUGUUGAGAGUUCCUGAAAUGAAAGGCAGAGCAUAUACCCGGCAACACCAGUUCAUCACCUACUCCUCUGGCCUCCAUCUUGGACAGCUGUUACAAACAUCUCAGGUUACACUCUAUGGACAGCAACUGCAUGAAACCCCUCUCCACAGACAUUGGCAUCAUCAUGGCACCCAUCUGCCCACUGUAUGGUUCUGCACUUAAUCAAUGCUGCAUGUGAGAGCACAUUGGCAGCUUUCAUUGCAGUUCUGCUACCAGGAUACCUAGCUCAUGUUUUGUCUCAGAUACAUCUCAGGAAUUCCUUGUUUGGUCUCUUAGCACUCAUUCAGUUUGUGCCUACCUUGAUGCUCACAACAUCUCUGUCUUGCCUCUUUUCCCUUUGACCCCUCAGCUCGAGCUUAAAGACUCACAAUUUGCUAAUCCCAAUAUGCCUUUUGAUGCAGACGCAAAGCCAGGGAGCUUGUCAUGUUUGUUAGCAAUCAUUGUUCAAGGUGUAGACAAGUUCUGGUGGGACACCAUGCUACAUCAGUCUUAUCAUGUACCAGUCACGUAUGGACUGAACACACUGCCUGAGCUUCAAAUA
Chiloscyllium plagiosum (whitespotted bambooshark) is the source of this 1232-nucleotide non-coding RNA. NCBI's taxonomy places the organism in Eukaryota, Metazoa, Chordata, Chondrichthyes, Orectolobiformes, Hemiscylliidae. The record is from RefSeq and is a predicted model, not a curated record.